Molecule: RNA transcript, 887 nt
Organism: Daphnia magna
Lineage: Eukaryota; Metazoa; Arthropoda; Branchiopoda; Diplostraca; Daphniidae
Exons: 2
Source: RefSeq, a predicted model, not a curated record
UGGUAGAGCGUCGCAUUGGCAAUUAGAAGGGCUAUGGUUCGAUUCUCGAGUCGGAUAAUGACGAAAAUUUAUCCUAAGGAUAAUGUAUAUAACAGUAGCUACAGAACUUUGAUUUCUGAUAAACUUUUUCCUAUUUGCUUUACUUUAAAAAAUUUAUAUGACGAUUAAUGCUGCUAAAAUUGACGUCAAUCUUGACAGUGCAGACGACAGAAAGUUAGAGGCUUUGUUGUUUUGUUCUGUUAUUGAUUUGUAAAGUUCAGCUAUGGCAUUAGUUGAAACAUUUUGGAAAGCUGGGCACAAGAUAACUGGACAUGACCUUGACGGAAGCCUUAGUCUAGGUUAUCGAAGAUUUCAAGCGUUUUUUUGGAACAUCGCCUUUAGUGUGUUUUGUUGCUUGGGACAUUUUGUUUAAUGCUCGUCCUAGAAAUUCAACACCAGAGCAUCUAUUAUGGGCUUUGAUACUGUUAAAACGAUAUAGUAUUGAAACAUUUAAUGCAAACUUAAUCGGAGUUAGUGAAAAAACAUUUCGAAAGUGCUUAACUGGGAUCAACGUUUCCGAAACGCUCCAAGAAACGCAUCUACAUUUAUUUCUCUUGACGGGACUGAUUUUAAAAUCAUGGAACCAUCAGAGUUUGACCCUAAAUGGUGGUCUCACAAAUUCAAUGGUCCCGGCUUGCGAUAUGAGAUUGGAAUUUGUAUCCGCACUGGGGACAUUGUUUGGGCUCACGGAGGUGUUCCGUGCGACGAAUGGCCAGAUCUUCGUCUCGCUUGAAAUGCAAUUGUUGGAGCCCUUCAACCAGGAGAAAAAGUUAUAGAUGAUCGCGGAUACAAUGACCAGCGUUAUUUUGAUCUUCCAAACGGACAUGCAGAUCAGCAAAAAAAACAAA